RNAcentral lists this ribosomal RNA (253 nucleotides) under uncultured bacterium. RNAcentral's name for it is "partial 16S ribosomal RNA". It matches the Rfam family "Bacterial small subunit ribosomal RNA", at positions 524 to 776 of the family's 1533-position model. The record is from RNAcentral.
UACGUAGGGGGCAAGCGUUGUCCGGAUUUAUUGGGCGUAAAGAGCGUGUAGGCGGCUUUACAGGUCCGUUGUGAAAACUCGAAGCUCAACCUCGAGACGCCGGUGGAAACCGUAAAGCUAGAGUCCGGAAGAGGAGACUGGAAUUCCUGGUGUAGCGGUGGAAUGCGCAGAUAUCAGGAGGAACACCGGUGGCGAAGGCGGGUCUCUGGGCAGUAACUGACGCUGAGGAGCGAAAGCGUGGGGAGCGAACAGG